Molecule: long non-coding RNA, 518 nt
Organism: Triplophysa dalaica
Lineage: Eukaryota; Metazoa; Chordata; Actinopteri; Cypriniformes; Nemacheilidae
Exons: 5
Source: RefSeq, a predicted model, not a curated record
GAGGAUGAUGAUAAAGAGGAGGAGGAUGAUGACGACGAAGAUGAUGAUGAUGAUUCUGAUGAUACAGAGUCUGAUGAAGAGGAAGGGGAGCCUGGAUCUGCUCCAGAAGGCGCAUAUGAUCCAGCCGACUAUGAUCAUCUUCCUGUAACAGCAGAGAUUAAAGAGCUGUUUCAGUACAUCACACGGUGAAUCUGCCCACAGCAGAUAUUGACUGUAGUUUGGCAGAGUAUGUCGACAUUAUUUGUGGGAGAUUGGACUAAGAACCGAAUUCACUAGCUCCAUGUCCUGUUCACACUCUACUCUGAAUUCAAAAAUUUGCAGCACUUUAAAUCUGUAGAAGGCCAGAAGUCUGACACGCCAUCUGCUUCACAUACAGCCACGGCUGAAUUAGAAAGACUCACUUUGGACUGAAUUGACUGUCAUGAUAUUUUGAGCAUGGUCUAUUUCUUACAUCCUGUUUUGUUGUUGUGUCAAGAGCUGUGUUUUGUUCUAUAAGCCCAUGUUUCUUUAUAUUGUAU